UACGUAGGUGGCGAGCGUUGUCCGGAAUUACUGGGCGUAAAGGGCGCGUAGGCGGCUUUUUAAGUCAGAUGUGAAAACCCGGGGCUUAACUUCGGGACUGCAUUUGAAACUGGAGGGCUUGAGUGCAGGAGAGGUAAGUGGAAUUCCUAGUGUAGCGGUGAAAUGCGUAGAUAUUAGGAGGAACACCAGUGGCGAAGGCGACUUACUGGACUGUAACUGACGCUGAGGCGCGAAAGCGUGGGGAGCAAAC
Molecule: ribosomal RNA, 250 nt
Filed under: uncultured bacterium
Lineage: Bacteria
Description: partial 16S ribosomal RNA
Rfam family: Bacterial small subunit ribosomal RNA
Source: RNAcentral